Molecule: long non-coding RNA, 518 nt
Organism: Carassius auratus (goldfish)
Lineage: Eukaryota; Metazoa; Chordata; Actinopteri; Cypriniformes; Cyprinidae
Exons: 3
Source: RefSeq, a predicted model, not a curated record
AGUGGAAAAGAUAUUAAUAAUGUCAUUACACAAUGCGGCCUCAAUUCCGAAGUUGCGCAAUGACGUCGUGCGUGACCUGCCGGAGGUUUCCAGGGCAACUUGAAUUGUUUUAGGAUUACGGCGUGCACGCGGAACUAUUCAGUCGCUUUAUUACAUUGGAUAAAUCAUUCUUUUGUAACGAUCUUGCUUUUAAUCUUCAAAAGACAGUUCACAACAGUAACAUGUCUUCAACUUCAGUGUUUUGGGAAUGAAUUGGGAAAAACCAAGCACACAUGUUUGUGAGCACAUUAAAUGUAAGGACCUCCAAAUGAUGCUCCACUGUCGAGAGGUUCACAGCUUUCUGAGACCUCUUUCACAACUCUGCCACAUGGAUGUCAGUUUUGACAGGGUGACAGACAGGUCUAAAGAGGUGAAAUCAGCGUUUUCAACUUAUAAGAAGAAUAAAAGCGCUCCAACCUCUUUGACACAGUUGUGCAAACAACUGGAGGAGAGAAUCACCCAGAAAUCGCAGCAUUACU